Molecule: long non-coding RNA, 905 nt
Organism: Aedes aegypti (yellow fever mosquito)
Lineage: Eukaryota; Metazoa; Arthropoda; Insecta; Diptera; Culicidae
Exons: 2
Source: RefSeq, a predicted model, not a curated record
UCAUAUGAAUAAAACCGAGUACUUGCUCAUGCUCAACCCGAUUUGGCCAAAGUAAAGUCUCUGAGCAUUUACUCAAAACGGUAUGAAUAAAACGAUACUUUGCUCAGAGUAAGUUCGAAUUUCGAACAUAGCUUUUACUCUGUCAAAAUGUUGUUUUUGUUUUGACUAUCCGAUUCAUGCAACGUACAAAGUUUAGUCCCGAGGUGCAAAGAGAAGUGCCUUUGCGGAUGUUAUUAGUCUUUUAUCGAUUAUUGCCGCUUGAUGAUGGAGUCACACACCCAGUGGAACCCAACUGUCUACUGGAAAUGCGUCGUUCUCAUCGUUGAGUAGAAAGCUACGACAGAUCAGGAGACCCUUUCAGCGGAACCGAUGCCUGCGGUAUUGAUUACCAUUAUCCAUCAGCAACAGCAUCAGAAUCCGAAGCGGUAGCAACGGAGAAGCUGUCGGUGUGAAAUACCAUGACCACCUUCGGACACAUCGGCGUAACCAGAUGGUUCCGGAUACUACAUCAGGGUGGAUAAAGAGGGAACACCAUCUAGGGAGUCGGAUCCUAUUUUUGGCACUUUUGAUUGACUUCGGCAGUGAGGCUUUUUUGAAAGUUACAGAGUUCAUGUUUGGCCACAAUACGCGUCGCACUAAAGUGCUUCUUUAUGCAAAGUUUCAGACAAUUCGGCCGAGAAAACUCCCCCAUGCCAAAGUGAAUCAUGGAAGUGUCCAAAGCUCUGCACCCUAUCUGUCCACCUGCUAUAAAAAAAAAACUAUGUGGAACAUGUUACGAAACCUAAUCAGAUGCUUAAAUGUUUUAAAUACCUUGUAGAAAAGGUUUCUGGUACAAUUGCGGCAAGGGGAACUAUACUACUGAUUAUCAUGAAAUAAAUUUAUUAGAUUUUUGUUAAAUUCCAGAA